This 418-nucleotide unclassified non-coding RNA is filed under the name uncultured Bordetella sp. RNAcentral's name for it is "partial 16S-23S ribosomal RNA intergenic spacer". It matches the Rfam family "Bacterial small subunit ribosomal RNA", at positions 10 to 439 of the family's 1533-position model. Lineage: Bacteria; Pseudomonadati; Pseudomonadota; Betaproteobacteria; Burkholderiales; Alcaligenaceae. The record is from RNAcentral.
AGUUCGAUUAUGGCUCAGAUUGAACGCUGGCGGGAUGCUUUACACAUGCAAGUCGAACGGCGGCACGGACUUCGGUCUGGUGGCGAGUGGCGAACGUUGAGUAUCGGAACGUGCCUAGUAGCGGGGAGGAUAACUACGCGAAAGCGUAGCUAAUACGCCACGCCCUUCGGGGAAAGCGGGGGACCUUCGGGCUCGCACUAUUAGAGCGGCCGAUAUCGGAUUAGCUAGUUGGUGGGGUAACGGCUCACCAAGGCGACGAUCCGUAGCUGGUUUGAAGAGGACGACCAGCCACACUGGGACUGAGACACGGCCCAGACUCCUACGGGGAGGCAGCAGUGGGGAAUUUUGGACAAUGGGGAAACCCUGAUCCAGCCAUCCGUGUUGAUAAGAAGGCCUUCGGGUUGUAAAGCACUUUUAA